Molecule: ribosomal RNA, 372 nt
Filed under: uncultured organism
Description: bacterial SSU rRNA
Rfam family: Bacterial small subunit ribosomal RNA
Source: RNAcentral
CAAAGGGGGCAAGCGUUAUUCGGAAUUAUUGGGCGUAAAGGGCGCGUAGGCGGCUUUUCAAGUGACGGGUGAAAUCCCUCGGCUUAACCGAGGAACUGCCUGUCAGACUGGAAGGCUUGAGACCGGGAGAGGUGAGUGGAAUUCCCAGUGUAGCGGUGAAAUGCGUAGAUAUUGGGAGGAACACCAGUGGCGAAGGCGGCUCACUGGACCGGAACUGACGCUGAGGCGCGAAAGCGUGGGGAGCAAACAGGAUUAGAUACCCUGGUAGUCCACGCCGUAAACGAUGAGUGCUUGGUGUAGCGGGUAUCGACCCCUGCUGUGCCGAAGUCAACACAUUAAGCACUCCGCCUGGGGAGUACGGUCGCAAGACUG